This 301-nucleotide ribosomal RNA is filed under the name uncultured bacterium. RNAcentral's name for it is "partial 16S ribosomal RNA". It matches the Rfam family "Bacterial small subunit ribosomal RNA", at positions 509 to 808 of the family's 1533-position model. The record is from RNAcentral.
CAGUAGCCGCGGUAAUACGUAGGUCCCGAGCGUUGUCCGGAUUUAUUGGGCGUAAAGCGAGCGCAGGCGGUUAGAUAAGUCUGAAGUUAAAGGCUGUGGCUUAACCAUAGUACGCUUUGGAAACUGUUUAACUCGAGUGCAGAAGGGGAGAGUGGAAUUCCAUGUGUAGCGGUGAAAUGCGUAGAUAUAUGGAGGAACACCGGUGGCGAAAGCGGCUCUCUGGUCUGUAACUGACGCUGAGGCUCGAAAGCGUGGGGAGCAAACAGGAUUAGAUACCCCAGUAGUCCCUGUCUCUUAUACC